Papaver somniferum (opium poppy) is the source of this 1118-nucleotide long non-coding RNA. RefSeq lists it as uncharacterized. The transcript is spliced from 2 exons. The record is from RefSeq and is a predicted model, not a curated record. NCBI's taxonomy places the organism in Eukaryota, Viridiplantae, Streptophyta, Magnoliopsida, Ranunculales, Papaveraceae.
UAGAUAGCAAUCCUGGAUCCAGGGGACCCACCCUUUGCUGUCCCUGUACCGAGGCCGUAGUAGGAUGCACCAGCAACAGAUGCGCCAGCAGCAGUGGACGCAGUGUGGGUUCCAUGACCAAUCAUGUCUCUUGUAAACCAAUGAUGGUGUCCACUCCUAGGUCGUCAGUCGCAGUGGGCUUCACUGAUGAAUCGUGAUGAUGGUCAUGUAGAUUUGCAGUAGCAGUAGCAUGCUGAUCGUAGUUCUUACUAUUAAUUAUAAGAUCAGUUUGAAGCUGAAGGAAGUCCCAAGAUCGAGUGGUGUGGAGCUGAAAGACAGGGUCUACAAACACAGAAACAACUGAUGAGCUAGAUGAGCUUUUUGCUCGAGUGGCCUCUUCUUUUGUCAAACGGGCAGCAAAUCCUGAAAAUCCAUGGCUGUAACUGUGCACCAGCCUCUUCUCUGCUUCAGCUGCUCCAUAGUGUAUCGACUGCUUCACCUUCCUGCAUGUAUCACAACAUGAGCAGUUUUGAUGUUAUAUGUAAUCAAACAUGUAAGUAAAUUAGUGAUGAUUAACUUCAAUUUAUAGGUGAAAUAUAUGUUCUGUCUAUAAAGCUAGGUGAUGUUGUGGGACGGAGGACCUGUCUACUUGUAAAAAUGAAGCAAGAAGCUUUAGGUGGUGUUCUCUCAAGCUGCUAGAUGUUUCUCUCCUUGCCUGGGUAUGUUGCUGUGAAGUUGAAGCUGAUGGCACUGAUCCCAUGUAUAUAAUGUACACACUUAAUUUGUUAUAAUUAUCAUUACUAUUUCGAUAAGAAAUCUUAUUCUCGGGCAGGUAUUGAUCUGUUCUCUCUCCAGUCAUCACUGCUAGACAUGAUAAUGACGAGGUAGAUAGUAGAAACAAGAAAAACGAUAUACAUGAGAGAAAGCCUGGAAGUAGGCGGCCAAGGUUGCUGCUGUCACCAAUCAUCUUGUUAGUUUUUACUAGCUUAUGGUUGAACUAUAUGGUUGAACUAUCUAGUACUGAUGUAUUGUUUUUUGCUAUAUUUAGAUACAGAGGGGAUUGCAAGGAAUGAUGAAGUUGGUGUGUUGGAACUGUCGAGUCAGUUGCUGCUAUAUAUAUACAUAGUUUUUUGCGUUGU